AGAGUUUGAUCAUGGCUCAGGAUGAACGCUGGCGGCGUGCCUAAUACAUGCAAGUCGAGCGGCAGCACGGUCUUCGGACUGGUGGCGAGCGGCGGACGGCUGAGUAACGCGUAGGAAUAUACCCCAAAGUGAGGGAUAACUGCCCGAAAAGGUGGCUAAUACCGCAUGUGGUCUUCGGACUAAAGCCUUCGGGCGCUUUGGGAAUAGCCUGCGUAAGAUUAGCUAGUUGGUGAGGUAAUGGCUCACCAAGGCGACGAUCUUUAGCUGGUCUGAGAGGAUGACCAGCCAGACUGGAACUGAGACACGGUCCAGACUCCUACGGGAGGCAGCAGUAGGGAAUUUUCCACAAUGGGCGAAAGCCUGAUGGAGCAACGCCGCGUGCAGGAUGAAGGCCCUCGGGUCGUAAACUGCUUUUAUGUGCGAAGAAUAUGACGGUAACACAUGAGUAAGGGUCGGCUAACUACGUG
Molecule: ribosomal RNA, 467 nt
Filed under: uncultured bacterium
Lineage: Bacteria
Description: bacterial SSU rRNA
Rfam family: Bacterial small subunit ribosomal RNA
Source: RNAcentral